UUUCGCAAUGCCCGAAAGGGUGACGAAGCGACGCCGCGUGGGUGAGGAAGGCCCCCGGGUUGUAAAGCCCUGUCAGGAGUUAAGAAAUGUAGGUACGCUAAUAUCGUAUCUAUUUGACAAAGGCUCCAAAGGAAGCCACGGCUAACUCUGUGCCAGCAGCCGCGGUAAUACAGAGGUGGCAAGCGUUGUUCGGAAUUAUUGGGCGUAAAGAGCACGUAGGUGGAUUUGUAAGUCAGAUGUGAAAGCCUUCUGUUCAACGGGAGAAUUGCAUCUGAAACUACAAACCUUGAGUAUAGGAGGGGAGAAUGGAACUUCUGGUGGAGCGGUGAAAUGCGUAGAUAUCAGAAGGAACGCCGGCGGCGAAAGCGAUUCUCUGGCCUAUUACUGACACUCAGUGUGCGAAAGCUAGGGGAGCAAACGGGAUUAGAUACCCCGGUAGUCCUAGCCGUAAACGAUGGGCACUAAGUAGAGGGGUA
Molecule: ribosomal RNA, 476 nt
Filed under: uncultured anaerobic ammonium-oxidizing bacterium
Lineage: Bacteria
Description: bacterial SSU rRNA
Rfam family: Bacterial small subunit ribosomal RNA
Source: RNAcentral